This is a non-coding RNA of Phalacrocorax carbo (great cormorant), 1513 nucleotides long. NCBI's taxonomy places the organism in Eukaryota, Metazoa, Chordata, Aves, Suliformes, Phalacrocoracidae. The record is from RefSeq and is a predicted model, not a curated record.
CCGGAGCCUCAGGCUGCAAGACUUGUCAGAAGGCUCGGAAGAGCUUGGAUGGGCCUCAAAGGCAGGCUAGAGACGUCAGUUUACCCAAGUUAUACAGCAAUCCCAACAGCAAUAAAAGCUGAAAUAACACAAGUGGGAACAAAAUAACAGAUGAUGUGAAAUCACCUGUUAGGAUGGAGAAGAACAGACCUUAGUUUGCCAGUGUGUGUCAACGUAGUUUAUCAUCUAUAGCUAUAAUUCAUACAAUCAGAGUUCAAGUUAAAUUAGGUCCAGUAUUGGUCUCAAUAUUGACUGCAGAGUAAAUCUGGAGCGUAUCCAAAGGUCCCUUCUGCAAAUUAGUAAACCAGCCCUGAACUUGCUGCAGCCAGCAGGGUCCUUGUAAACCAGCGGACCUGGGCAGCACGGGCAGUAUCACCAGUGGGCAGGGAUGUCUGGAAGUACUGAUGCUCAUACAGCAUUCACCAAGGCCCAAGAGUCAAAUCCUAAAUCAGUCCUGAAUCCAGCCUUCCCGGCAUCUGGGAGUGCUCUGUUUUCAGACCCUCCUCCAGGGUCUGUUCAGCAAAAGAGCUCUCUGACGAGCGGAGAUCGCCUGCAGACAAGUACGACUGCUAAGACCUGCUUUUACCCGCUGAGCCUGACGCACAGCCGAUAGCAGGUGAACAAAUGCUCACAUUAAAGGGACUCUGGGCAACGGUUAAAUUCCUUGAUGCUGACUCAGAAAGGAAGGCUCCUUUCAGCUGCAGUCCAUAACCGCGUCCUCGAAGCACCUAUUACUGUCCCUGUUUCUAACAGCACAAACCACAGUUUGGUGCUGCGGGGUAGGCAGGCUGCGGAGGUGACACCCCACCGAGGAGCCGUCCCAGCACCAAGUAAAAGGGAGGAGGCAGGAGGAAGCACCAAUUCAGCUCUGCUCAGCUUUUGGCUCCUGACACUAGCAAUGGGAAGAAGCUCCUGGGAGUUCUCUGCUGCUCGUGCACAUCAGGCCCGUCGGACACAGGAGAUGCCGCUAAUUUCAGGCUAUUCUGCGUUUGCCAUGGAUGUCUGCCGAGCUCACCUCCAUAGGUGACCGUACCUGCUUUGAACUCAAUCAUUUUACAGCAGAGAACCUUUGCUUACAUGCUCUAUGAAUUAUCAGCCAGUUGUGGCUCUGUGGAAUUAGCAAAGACUUUGAGAAAUUACAUGGCAUUCGUUACAGCGGGCAUGCGCAGGGUUAGCUUUUGCCUUUUUAUCCUAAAUAAAAGGUGGAGUUACCUGCUGGCAAACUUCUCUGCUCUUCAGGGCCUCUGCCUCCGUGUGUGAUCGUAAAGCACUCACUGCACUGUGAGCACUACCAGGUGGGAACACUGGAAUUUAAGGACAAAUUAGGCAAAAAUAUUAAGAUUUAUAUCCACAAACUGACUACUGCUCUGAAGAUUAAAGUUUAGGUGAACACAAAUCCCAUAUGUUCUCACCAACUCUAGCUCUGUCUGGUUUUUUUAAUCCUUCCCAUCUCUUCCAUCUCAUGAUCUGCUGA